AAAAAAGUCGUAACAAGGUCUCCGUUGGUGAACCAGCGGAGGGAUCAUUACCGAGUUUACAACUCCCAAACCCCUGUGAACAUACCUUAUGUUGCCUCGGCGGAUCAGCCCGCGCCCCGUAAAAAGGGACGGCCCGCCGCAGGAACCUUAAACUCUGUUUUUAGUGGAACUUCUGAGUAUAAAAAACAAAUAAAUCAAAACUUUCAACAACGGAUCUCUUGGUUCUGGCAUCGAUGAAGAACGCAGCAAAAUGCGAUAAGUAAUGUGAAUUGCAGAAUUCAGUGAAUCAUCGAAUCUUUGAACGCACAUUGCGCCCGCCAGUAUUCUGGCGGGCAUGCCUGUUCGAGCGUCAUUUCAACCCUCAAGCCCAGCUUGGUGUUGGGAGCUGCAGUCCUGCUGCACUCCCCAAAUACAUUGGCGGUCACGUCGAGCUUCCAUAGCGUAGUAAUUUACAUAUCGUUACUGGUAAUCGUCGCGGCCACGCCGUUAAACCCCAACUUCUGAAUGUUGACCUCGGAUCAGGUAGGAAUAGGUUUCCAUGGUUCA
RNAcentral lists this ribosomal RNA (546 nucleotides) under Fusarium culmorum. RNAcentral describes it as "eukaryotic LSU rRNA". The stretch from base 199 to 352 matches the Rfam family "5.8S ribosomal RNA". Lineage: Eukaryota; Fungi; Ascomycota; Sordariomycetes; Hypocreales; Nectriaceae. The record is from RNAcentral.